RNAcentral lists this ribosomal RNA (255 nucleotides) under uncultured bacterium. Its description in RNAcentral is "partial 16S ribosomal RNA". It matches the Rfam family "Bacterial small subunit ribosomal RNA", at positions 524 to 776 of the family's 1533-position model. The record is from RNAcentral.
UACAGAGGUCUCAAACGUUGUUCGGAAUCACUGGGCGUAAAGGGUGUGUAGGCGGUGUGCUAAGUCAGAUGUGAAAGCCCGGGGCUCAACCUCGGAACUGCAUCCGAUACUGGCAUGCUAGAGAAUUGGAGAGGAGUCUAGAAUUCACGGUGUAGCAGUGAAAUGCGUAGAUAUCGUGAGGAAUACCAAGUGCGAAGGCAGGACUCUGGACAUUUUCUGACGCUGAGACACGGAAGGCCCAGGGGAGCAAACGGG